Molecule: long non-coding RNA, 2653 nt
Organism: Chinchilla lanigera (long-tailed chinchilla)
Lineage: Eukaryota; Metazoa; Chordata; Mammalia; Rodentia; Chinchillidae
Exons: 3
Source: RefSeq, a predicted model, not a curated record
UUCCUGAGAUGCCCGCCUGGUGUGAAGAAGCCUCGCUGGGCUGCUCCUGUGGGUAAAGAUAAAGGCUUCACAGGGGUGUCUUUUGGAGCGCAUGCUCACCGGCACCCCCAGUGACCUCGCGGAGCUCGGCAGACCCACGCCUGGGGUGGGGCGAAAGGAAAGUGCAGGGAAUUCGCUGUGUUCCGCGUGUCCCCGGGUCCCGGUGGGGCUGGCCUUUUUCCUUUCCUUUUUUGCACUGCUGGGGUUGGAACACAGGACCUUGCCCCUGGUAGGCAAGUGCUCUGCUAUUGAACUAUGUCCUCAGGCCUGGUCUUCCUUCUCUCUAUUUUUCAGAAUCAUCUUAUAUUUAAUUUUUGAAGGAUAUUUUAACUGUACUUAACAGGAAAAUAGGGAACAUAUCUACCACUAAUUGCUUUAAAGUGUUUUCUGUGUUUCAUUCUUAAUCUCACCUAGAAGCUUAAGUAAAAACCCUACCCUAUCACCUGAAUGUUUGUGCCCACCUGUGUCACCUGGAAUUCUGUUCAGCACCAAGGCAAUGACAUUCGGAAGGUGUUGAGACUGGCCGAGGCAGUCAUGAACGGGAUCAGUUCCGUUAUAAAAGGGACCCCAGAGAGCUGCCUCGCCCGCUCUACAUGAGGAGACAGUGAGAAGGCACCAUCUGCGGGACAAUGGCCUGUCCCCAGAUGCUGUCUUCACUGGCACCUUGGAGCUGAGAAAUAAAUUUCUGUUGUUUAUGAGCCACUCAGGUUACAGCGAUCUGUUCCAGCAGCCUGAACGGACUAAGCCUUAGCUGAGCCUUACUUCCCUCCUAAGUCUGCUCGGGUCAGUCCCUGAAGCACACACAAAGGCUCUUCCCAUCUGCACCUCCGUCGGCCUAGAAGCAUAAGUCCGUCCUUGUCACCACUCUUCAAAGACCGGGAAUCUAAAUGGUUUUCAUUGCACUUGGAAUAAAACGUGAAUGCCUAGCCGUGGCCUGUGAAGUCUGCACACAUCGGCACCUGUCUGUCCCACUACGUCUCCUCCCUUACCAAGGCUCGUGUGGGUGACAGCAGAACGCUGGCUGGAAGUCAGACCCAGUCUGCCUCAGCGUGCUGGUGAGGAAGCUACGGGAAGCUUCUUUCAGCGGGAGGACCCAGACGCUGAGAGAUGAGGAGCUAGAGGGCUAAUUUUGCUGUGUGUGCUGCGGUGAUUUCGAAAAGCUUAUAGAGAAGGUGACGUUGAACUUGGCUUUGAGAGAAUAUCCUUUUUCCAGGUGCCGCAGAGGCGAUAAGAGCCUUCCAGACAGAGCAGAGGGCGGGGGAGGCAGAGGGGCUUGGAGAGCACGUUUGCCUUGCUCGCUGAGAGCAGGCGGGGCGUUCACAGCGCCUGCUGAAGUCAGCCUGACAGUGAGUCUGGCUGAAUAUUCUCUCAGAUAGGUUUAAUUUUCGGAGUCAAUGACUUUCUGAUCUGCCCGAGUCAGGAAAAUGUGCCUUCCCCGCAGGCAGACUCUCCAUGUGAGCGCCCUGCGAGGGCAGCAAGAGGACGGGGUGUCGGGUGGCGGGGAAGGAAACGCACGGCGACCCCGCUUGGCUCGUGCAGCGUUCGGGCAGGAUGUCCUCACUCCCUGCAGCACGACUGCGGCCGGGAGUCCCUGGACUGGGAACCUCUCCCCGUGGGUGAAACCUCGCAGAUCCCAGCGGGAGGAGAAGCACACUGCGUCUUCGUGAGGCACGCUUGCGGUCUUCCCUCUGUGCAGCCCGAGGCCCUCGGGGAACAAGGGAGCGGCCGUUUGCUGUGAGAAGAUGGGAAGGAGGAGUCCGAGGGCCGCAUCCAUGCCAGAGUGUGCAGCGAGGACUCUCGGGCUUUGUGUGUUUGGGUCUUCCCAGCAUCAUUCUCUUUACAGAUUAGCUCCCUGAGGCACACAGAAGGUCGUAGCCCUCGGAGCUCGCACUGCUUGCAACAGUAAGACUGGAAUUCGGAACCACUCACAGCUCACGCUCCCUGCUGACUCUGAGAAUAAUCCUGCCUCUCCGGCCCAGGAGUUGCCUCUUUUGUUGAGGGGUGGGGCUUGAGAUAGGGUCUCACUAUGUAGAGUGGGUUGGCCUUGAGUUCUUUUACACAGCCUACGCUGGCCUCAGACUCUUGGCAAAGCUCCUGCCUCAGCUUUCUGAGUGCUGGGGUUAUAGGCACGAGCCGCCGCGCCUGGCCAGGAGUUGUGUCUUUGACCUUAGCUGUGUGCUAUCUUUCUAAGGUAGUCAGGAACAGAAGCAUUGUCUACAUAGACUGCUAGAAUCCUUGAUGAAAUGGUGUGCCAGUCAGAUAUCUAAAGUAGCUUUCGUGCUGUCUUCCUAUGGUAAGUCUGGGGCUUGGAGACACUCAGGCAUUUUCAUUGGAUAGCACGUCCCAGCCGGUGCACAGGAGCGUAAAGCACGAGUCAGGCUACCGUGGUGGGUGUGAACUGGCUGAAGCCCACUGUCCUUGGGAAGGCUCGUGUGCUCUUCGCCACGUUCCCUCCUUGCUCGUACUUGGGUCCCUUGGAAGCAGCAAGCAUGACUCCUUGAGUCUGUCACCCAGAAAAGAGGGCUGUAAUCCCCAGGGAGAUGGCCUCUUCCUGUGUGCUGUAUAUGUUUUGUUCUCUUCAGAUUGUUUUUUUUUCUCUUUGAGACAGGGUUUC